GGACUACUGGGGUAUCUAAUCCUGUUUGCUCCCCACGCUUUCGCACCUCAGUGUCAGUAUCAGUCCAGGUGGUCGCCUUCGCCACUGGUGUUCCUUCCUAUAUCUACGCAUUUCACCGCUACACAGGAAAUUCCACCACCCUCUACCAUACUCUAGCUCGACAGUUUUGAAUGCAGUUCCCAGGUUGAGCCCGGGGAUUUCACAUCCAACUUAACGAACCACCUACGCGCGCUUUACGCCCAGUAAUUCCGAUUAACGCUUGCACCCUCUGUAUUACCGCGGCUGCUGGCAC
RNAcentral lists this ribosomal RNA (292 nucleotides) under uncultured bacterium. RNAcentral's name for it is "partial 16S ribosomal RNA". The record is from RNAcentral.